RNAcentral lists this ribosomal RNA (325 nucleotides) under uncultured eukaryote. RNAcentral describes it as "partial 18S ribosomal RNA". It matches the Rfam family "Eukaryotic small subunit ribosomal RNA", at positions 1470 to 1796 of the family's 1831-position model. The record is from RNAcentral.
CCCUUAGAUGUUCUGGGCCGCACGCGCGCUACAAUGAUGAAUUCAACGAGCUUAUAACCUUGGUUGAAAAGCCUGGGUAAUCUUUUGAACUUUCGUCGUGAUGGGGCUAGACCCUUGCAAUUUUUGGUCUCCAACGAGGAAUUCCUAGUAAACGCAAGUCAUCAACUUGCAUUGAUUACGUCCCUGCCCUUUGUACACACCGCCCGUCGCACCUACCGAUUGAGUGUUCCGGUGAAGCCUCGGGAUUGUAGCUGUUUCCUUUAUUGGGUACAGCCGUGAGAACUUGUCUGAACCUUAACACUUAGAGGAAGGUGAAGUCGUAACA